UACGAAGGGGGCUAGCGUUGCUCGGAAUCACUGGGCGUAAAGGGUGCGUAGGCGGGUCUUUAAGUCAGGGGUGAAAUCCUGGAGCUCAACUCCAGAACUGCCUUUGAUACUGAAGAUCUUGAGUUCGGGAGAGGGGAGUGGAACUGCGAGUGUAGAGGUGAAAUUCGUAGAUAUUCGCAAGAACACCAGUGGCGAAGGCGGCUCACUGGCCCGAUACUGACGCUGAGGCACGAAAGCGUGGGGAGCAAACAGG
RNAcentral lists this ribosomal RNA (253 nucleotides) under uncultured bacterium. Its description in RNAcentral is "partial 16S ribosomal RNA". It matches the Rfam family "Bacterial small subunit ribosomal RNA", at positions 524 to 776 of the family's 1533-position model. The record is from RNAcentral.